Molecule: RNA transcript, 2124 nt
Organism: Panicum virgatum (switchgrass)
Lineage: Eukaryota; Viridiplantae; Streptophyta; Magnoliopsida; Poales; Poaceae
Exons: 6
Source: RefSeq, a predicted model, not a curated record
CCUGUGCCUCUGUGUCGAGUGUCCACUCUCCUCUCGCUGGGGGAGACGAGCCGUCUAGGUUUAGCCAUCUACGAGCCGGUAGCAGCAGCGCUGGGAUCUCCAGCCAGCAGCCACCGGGGGCGGCGGUAGGAGCGAUGCGGUGGAGGCUUGUGAUGUCCGGUCCCGACCCCGGCGCCUCCACUUAGCCGCGGUGGAGAUGGAGGCCGCCCCCAAGCGGGCCCGUGCGGGCGGCGGCGAGGCGCCCGACCGGUUGAGCGCCCUGCCGGACGAGCUCCUCCACCGCGUCUUUUCCUUCCUCCCGUCCCAGCAGGCCGUGCAGACCACCGUGCUGUCCAAGCGGUGGAUAGAUCUGUGGCGUUCGAUGCCUGCCAUCAACCUCAACAUUAAGGAAUUCGAGUGCCGAAGCCCCGCCCCGGGACAGUAUGAGAAGACGAGGUGGGGAAAGAUGGAGAAUUUCACCACCAACCUGCUGAUGCGUCACAGGGCCCCGCGGCUGGAUGCAUUCCGGUUAAAUACAGGUUCAAUUAGAGUUGAUUGGCGUCGGGAUGUGGAUAGAUGGAUUCGCCGUGCCAUCGAGUACUGCCCAGUGAAGCUCCACAUCCGGCUUCCUGUUCGCUUGGGUGUUCCAUAUCAACUACCCAAACCGUUUUCUUGUCAUCUCAAACGUUUGGUUCUUCUGGUGUGUCUCUGGAGCACAUUUUCGGUGAGCAGCUCCGAUCUGAGUGCCCAGUCCUAGAAGAUCUGGAACUAUGGAGAUGUCGUGAGUUCAGUGGUCUUCAUUCUGACACAUUGAAGAAGUUGUAUGUUUAUGAUUGCUCAGGUGGAGCUGCAGAUAAAUUGGUCAUCAGGGCUCCUUCUCUUGCUUCUCUGUCCCUUAGCCUUCCUAUUCACGGGGCUUGCGGUUAUAGAAAUGGUGUUUUAUUAUAUACAGAGAAGUUCCUUGCCGAGGCAUGGAUUUCUAUGGGAUAUAAUCAACUAUCUCGAAGAGGCGGGGCAAUCCUUCUGGGCAGCCUAUUCAAUGUGACGAGCUUGGAGCUGAUUUCUUUUAGUGCAAUGGCAAUUCUACAUGAGGAAUUUGAUAAAUCCCCAGUAUUUGACAACUUGCGAACCUUAUCCCUCAUCGGCUGUUUUGACAGCAAACAUGAUGUGAACAAAUUCAGAGCUCUUGGAAGAUUGCUGCAGAAGCUUCCUAAUCUGGAGAAGCUUACUUUGAAAGAUUUCUGGUAUGAUGAAGGUACAUUAAGGGAGGUGCAAAUGGUCAACAAGGCGACCCUUAAAACGAUUUUUUUGAGUGAGCUUGCCAGCACAUAGUGGGGGUUCCUGUUAGUUUCUUUGAAUUAGGUACCACGUCAUUUUUUUAUGAAGUAUGUUGUACAAUUAAUCACGGGCUUGAGAUAUCUUCUAAAUUAUCCAUUUUAUCUUUUACUUCUGUGAACGAUCUGUGUGUGGCAGGACAUGAGUUGUUUGAUCUCUUAGAUAGUGGCCCUAGGCGUGGAGAUUCACGAGCUCCGCCACUGCCUAGUAGGGCCUGUUUUUAAUGAAGGGUGAGGCCAGUUGUAGGACCAAUUGAAUUUCCUAUACUUGAAAACUUGAGAACCUUAUUGCUGGAUGAGUGUGAUUUGCGCGACAACAUCCGAUUACCGCGCCACUUUCUACAGAGCUCUCCUAAUCUGGAAAAGCUCACAGUACGGCUUUGCAAGCUACCCAAAGUUUCCCCAGAAGGUAAAGGAAAAGCCAGGUCGGGGAAGGGAUAUUGUCAGUUCCAGAACCUUGUUCGAUUCAAGUGUCAGAAGCUAAAGUCCACUGAAAUCAUCUACAAAAAUGGUAGCAAAAUCCAGGGACUGGUUAGUCUUUUUCUCGGCAUCUCAGACUGCACCAAAGAAUACUGUAACACUUAAGAAGUAUGAAGGAGAAGAAGGCGACGGCACAGCCUUACUCUAGGCAGUAGAUCGGUAGUAUUCUUGCGCGCACGCCCGUUCCGUGGGCUAUUUUCAGAUAAACCAUCUGUUGUAAAUAUGCACGGGGCACUGAGUUUACUUCUGACACUUUCUAUAUAACUUAAGGUUGUGCUGCAUGGUAUUUUGAGGUGUCCGGUUGGAAUGGAGGAUGCAUUCUUGAAUUGGA